AGAAUAAUUCACAAUGGGGGCAACCCUGAUGGUGCAACGCCGCGUGGAGGAUGACGGUCUUCGGAUUGUAAACUCCUGUCAUCCGGGAGUAAGACCUGGCGAUGAAUAGUCGACGGGGUUGAUAGUACCGGAAGAGGAAGGGACGGCUAACUUAGGGCCAGCAGCCGCGGUAAUACGAAGGUCCCGAGCGUUGUUCGGAGUCACUGGGCGUAAAGGGAGCGUAGGCGGCGUGGUAAGUCAGAUGUGAAAUCCCGGGGCUCAACCCCGGAACUGCAUCCGAUACUGCCGUGCUAGAGGAUUGGAGAGGUAGCUGGAAUUCACGGUGUAGCAGUGAAAUGCGUAGAUAUCGUGAGGAACACUCGUGGCGAAAGCGAGCUACUGGACAACUCCUGACGCUGAGGCUCGAAGGCCAGGGUAGCGAAA
This 423-nucleotide ribosomal RNA is filed under the name uncultured bacterium. Its description in RNAcentral is "bacterial SSU rRNA". It matches the Rfam family "Bacterial small subunit ribosomal RNA", at positions 358 to 773 of the family's 1533-position model. The record is from RNAcentral.